CCUACGGGAGGCAGCAGUGGGGAAUAUUGGACAAUGGGCGAAAGCCUGAUCCAGCCAUGCCGCGUGUGUGAAGAAGGCCUUCGGGUUGUAAAGCACUUUCAGUGGGGAAGAAAGCCUUGGGGCUAAUACCCUCGAGGAAGGACAUCACCCACAGAAGAAGCACCGGCUAACUCCGUGCCAGCAGCCGCGGUAAUACGGAGGGUGCGAGCGUUAAUCGGAAUUACUGGGCGUAAAGCGCGCGUAGGCGGUCUGAUAAGCCGGUUGUGAAAACCCCGGGCUCAACCUGGGAACGGCAUCCGGAACUGUCAGGCUAGAGUGCAGGAGAGGAAGGUAGAAUUCCCGGUGUAGCGGUGAAAUGCGUAGAGAUCUGGAGGAAUACCAGUGGCGAAGGCGGCCUUCUGGACUGACACUGACGCUGAGGUGCGAAAGCGUGGGUAGCAAACAGGAUUAGAUACCCGAGUAGUC
RNAcentral lists this ribosomal RNA (465 nucleotides) under Vreelandella stevensii. Its description in RNAcentral is "partial 16S ribosomal RNA". It matches the Rfam family "Bacterial small subunit ribosomal RNA", at positions 338 to 795 of the family's 1533-position model. The record is from RNAcentral. Lineage: Bacteria; Pseudomonadati; Pseudomonadota; Gammaproteobacteria; Oceanospirillales; Halomonadaceae.